UACCGAGUUUACAACUCCCAAACCCCUGUGAACAUACCAUUUGUUGCCUCGGCGGUGCCUGCUUCGGCAGCCCGCCAGAGGACCCAAACCCUUGAUUUUAUACAGUAUCUUCUGAGUAAAUGAUUAAAUAAAUCAAAACUUUCAACAACGGAUCUCUUGGUUCUGGCAUCGAUGAAGAACGCAGCGAAAUGCGAUAAGUAAUGUGAAUUGCAGAAUUCAGUGAAUCAUCGAAUCUUUGAACGCACAUUGCGCCCGCCAGUAUUCUGGCGGGCAUGCCUGUUCGAGCGUCAUUUCAACCCUCAAGCCCCCGGGCUUGGUGUUGGAGAUCGGCGUGCCCCCCGGGGCGCGCCGGCUCCCAAAUAUAGUGGCGGUCUCGCUGUAGCUUCCUCUGCGUAGUAGCACACCUCGCACUGGAAAACAGCGUGGCCACGCCGUUAAACCCCCCACUUCUGAAAGGUUGACCUCGGAUCAGGUAGGAAUACCCGCUGAACUUAAGCAUAUCAAUAAGCGGA
This 512-nucleotide ribosomal RNA is filed under the name fungal sp. RNAcentral's name for it is "eukaryotic LSU rRNA". The stretch from base 137 to 290 matches the Rfam family "5.8S ribosomal RNA". Lineage: Eukaryota; Fungi. The record is from RNAcentral.